GUAUGAAUGGCUAAAUGAGGGCCAAACUGUCUCCUACGACCAAUCAAUGAACCUGAUCUUCUAGUACAAAAGCUAGAAUACACCCAUAAGACGAGAAGACCCUGUGGAGCUUAAAAUAUCAAUACUAACCAGCCCCACCACCCAAGCAGGCCCACACCACCAAAAUAGUAAACAUUUUUAGUUGGGGCGACUACGGAACAAAACCUAACUUCCACGACAUGGGCACUCCACCCAAUAAAGGUCAACAAACCAACAUAUCACUUGACCCAGUAACACUGAUCAACGGACCAAGUUACCCCAGGGAUAACAGCGCCAUCCUCUUCAAGAGCCCAUAUCGCCAAGAGGGUUUACGACCUCGAUGUUGGAUCAGGACUUCCAGGUGGUGCAACCGCUACCAACGGUUCGUUUG
This 409-nucleotide ribosomal RNA is filed under the name Sphaerodactylus elegans. RNAcentral's name for it is "partial 16S ribosomal RNA". It matches the Rfam family "Bacterial large subunit ribosomal RNA", at positions 1990 to 2579 of the family's 2925-position model. Lineage: Eukaryota; Metazoa; Chordata; Lepidosauria; Squamata; Sphaerodactylidae. The record is from RNAcentral.